GACUUAUCCAGAAAGGCGGAGGGACUUGGCCCUGCGAUGCCUUAGCAACCAACCUGCAGAAAUGUAGGGAAAGGUGCUAAUUCCGGCCCCGGUUAUACGAUAACCGAGGGAAGAUAAGUU
This 120-nucleotide non-coding RNA is filed under the name Chitinophaga pinensis. RNAcentral describes it as "SAM-I sequence". It matches the Rfam family "SAM riboswitch aptamer (S box leader)". Rfam says of the family: The SAM riboswitch is found upstream of a number of genes which code for proteins involved in methionine or cysteine biosynthesis in Gram-positive bacteria. The SAM riboswitch acts at the level of transcription termination control. Lineage: Bacteria; Pseudomonadati; Bacteroidota; Chitinophagia; Chitinophagales; Chitinophagaceae. The record is from RNAcentral.